CUCAGGUCAUUUUUUUCCUUUACAAAUCUUCUAGAUUGCACUAUGUUAGUUGAGAAGAAGCCAGAAACAAAAAGUCAAAAUGGAAUGGUCCUUCUUUUUCAUUAUGAUCCACCCAAGGAAGUGGUCUCACUUUAAGAUAUUGGGGAGCACUCAGGAGGCUGAGGAUCACCACGAUCUCUGGGCCAACCUGGGUUACAUCGUGAGUUCAAGGCCAGUCUGAACUACAUAGCAAGACCUUGCUUCAAAAAACAAAAUACAACUGCAACAAAAGGAGGAAAAAUGCAAGAGCAUUUGUCAAAGGAGGAGUUCAUUUAAAUCUUUGGAUAUCUUCUGUUCUUCCUGGUCUUCGAAGGGUACCCUGGGCACUCCAUUGACUCCACCACCGGGCUGCUUGCCAGGGCUCAGCUGAAGAGAUGCCUUUUCAGAGACACUUUCCCCAACCACCUGUGCUCUCAACCAUGCCACAGGUGCCAUGAAGGCAUUGUCAAGGUCUGGAAAUGUCUGAAUCUUUGCCUAUUUAACUCUGCGCUG
Long non-coding RNA from Heterocephalus glaber (naked mole-rat), 531 nucleotides. The record is from Ensembl. Lineage: Eukaryota; Metazoa; Chordata; Mammalia; Rodentia; Bathyergidae.